GAGGGGCUGCUCCUAGUACGAGAGGACCGGAGUGGACGAACCUCUGGUGUUCCGGUUGUCACGCCAGUGGCAUUGCCGGGUAGCUAUGUUCGGAAAAGAUAACCGCUGAAAGCAUCUAAGCGGGAAACUUGCCUCAAGAUGAGAUCUCACUGGGAACUUGAUUCCCCUGAAGGGCCGUCGAAGACUACGACGUUGAUAGGCUGGGUGUGUAAGCGUUGUGAGGCGUUGAGCUAACCAGUACUAAUUGCCCGUGAGGCUUGACCAUAUAACACCCAAACA
RNAcentral lists this ribosomal RNA (279 nucleotides) under Pseudomonas aeruginosa. RNAcentral's name for it is "partial 23S ribosomal RNA". It matches the Rfam family "Bacterial large subunit ribosomal RNA", at positions 2666 to 2925 of the family's 2925-position model. The record is from RNAcentral. Lineage: Bacteria; Pseudomonadati; Pseudomonadota; Gammaproteobacteria; Pseudomonadales; Pseudomonadaceae.